This 410-nucleotide ribosomal RNA is filed under the name uncultured bacterium. RNAcentral describes it as "bacterial SSU rRNA". It matches the Rfam family "Bacterial small subunit ribosomal RNA", at positions 356 to 773 of the family's 1533-position model. The record is from RNAcentral.
GGGGAAUAUUGCACAAUGGGCGCAAGCCUGAUGCAGCGACGCCGCGUGAGGGAUGGAGGCCUUCGGGUUGUAAACCUCUUUUGUUAGGGAGCAAGGCACUUCGUGUUGAGUGUACCUUUCGAAUAAGCACCGGCUAACUACGUGCCAGCAGCCGCGGUAAUACGUAGGGUGCAAGCGUUAUCCGGAAUUAUUGGGCGUAAAGGGCUCGUAGGCGGUUCGUCGCGUCCGGUGUGAAAGUCCAUCGCUUAACGGUGGAUCCGCGCCGGGUACGGGCGGGCUUGAGUGCGGUAGGGGAGACUGGAAUUCCCGGUGUAACGGUGGAAUGUGUAGAUAUCGGGAAGAACACCAAUGGCGAAGGCAGGUCUCUGGGCCGUUACUGACGCUGAGGAGCGAAAGCGUGGGGAGCGAAC